GAAGACCUGGAACAGGUACCUUGUGGAUAUGAGCUGGCCAUGCGUGCUCACAGCCCAGAGUACCAACUGUAUCCUGGGCUGCAUCAGAAGAAGGGUGGCCAGCAGGUCGUUUAUCCUCCUCUUGUGAGAUGCCACCUGGAGUACUGCAUCCAGGCCUGGGGUCCCCAGCACAGGAAGGAUAUAGAUCUGUUGGAAAGGAGGUGCCAAUAAAAGCAAACUACCCAUCAAAAUGAUACUGAUACAGACUGUUAUGUGAGGGAUGCAUUACAAUUUUACCUCUCUUUUAUAAGGCAUAUCUUGGCUCCCCAUGAGAUGAACAACUGAAUCCUGUGUAUUCUGACUGAGGCAGUUCAGAAGGUCACUAAUCAGGAUUUCUUGGCCACAUAGGAAUAUAGC
Long non-coding RNA from Lepidothrix coronata (blue-crowned manakin), 396 nucleotides. RefSeq lists it as uncharacterized. The transcript is spliced from 3 exons. NCBI's taxonomy places the organism in Eukaryota, Metazoa, Chordata, Aves, Passeriformes, Pipridae. The record is from RefSeq and is a predicted model, not a curated record.